UUAAAAAAAAAAUGAAAAUAAAAUAAAGGCAAGCAUUAUGACCGAAAAAGCGCGAAGAAUGGCAUCCACUUCUGGAGAAUCAAGAAGGAGAGAGAACGUUGAUAGAGGAUCUGACCGACUAGCUCUCAUCACCUGUCAGAUCCAUGCCCUCCCACCCGGUUAUCCAUCUCAACCGUUGAAUUCCCUGAACCCACCUCUUCAUCUCUCCAAUAAAAUAACCGGCAGAUGAUGGCGCAGCCCAAUUUCUGAGCGGCCCAAACAAGUCAUUGGGCACCUUUCCUCUUCUGAAAGAGGAGAGGUGGUGUGGCUAAAAGAAAAUGUCUUUACCAUGUAAAGUUAGCAUGGCUUGCAUGUUUUUGUUAGCAUUUCCGUUUGUUGAGGGGUGGAGGUAUUCGAGGCGAUCUAUGGCUUGGAUGGUUUUGAUGGCAUUUUCGUUUGCUGAGGGGUGGAGGUAUUUGAGGCAAUCUAGCAUAUUCUGCUGAUGGAAAAGAUGAUCAUGAGCCGACCACCAUUGCUGCUGGACAUGGUGGGAGCACUGUUAAACCAUCUUCACGCGAAUUUGACACAGUUGCGGAAGCAUCAAUAGCUUCUUCUGCGGAAACAAGCAGUAAAGUAGAAUCAUCUUUGGCCAAACCAUCUAGGUCUACUUCAGGAACAGAGCAAAACUUAAAAAACCACAACGAUGGAUAAGUAGUUCUGUGACUCCAUAUCAAAUAACCUCUGCCAAUGCAGCAUCAGAGAAAUAAUGCUAAUGUUAUCCGGCUCAAUGCCCACAAUUUGCAUUUGAGCACGAGUACCCCGGAUAUCGUUGCUGUCCAAGAUACUGUAGAGUCCUAUAAGGAAUUGAAUCAAACGAAGCUCUCGCCUUUCUCAUAUGACCCAAUCUAGAAUUCCCGGAAAA
Populus nigra (black poplar) is the source of this 901-nucleotide long non-coding RNA. RefSeq lists it as uncharacterized. The record is from RefSeq and is a predicted model, not a curated record. Lineage: Eukaryota; Viridiplantae; Streptophyta; Magnoliopsida; Malpighiales; Salicaceae. The transcript is spliced from 2 exons.